AUUCUGGUGUUUUUCAACACCACCCUUUUUAAAAAGAGAAAAUGUGU
Non-coding RNA from Hyaloperonospora arabidopsidis Emoy2, 47 nucleotides. The record is from Rfam. NCBI's taxonomy places the organism in Eukaryota, Oomycota, Peronosporomycetes, Peronosporales, Peronosporaceae.